Molecule: ribosomal RNA, 467 nt
Filed under: uncultured bacterium
Lineage: Bacteria
Description: bacterial SSU rRNA
Rfam family: Bacterial small subunit ribosomal RNA
Source: RNAcentral
CGGCCAGACUCCUACGGGAGGCAGCAGUGAGGAAUAUUGGUCAAUGGGCGAGAGCCUGAACCAGCCAAGUCGCGUGAGGGAAGACUGCCCUAUGGGUUGUAAACCUCUUUUGUCAGGGAGCAACGCCGGCUACGUGUAGCCGGACUGAGAGUACCUGAAGAAAAAGCAUCGGCUAACUCCGUGCCAGCAGCCGCGGUAAUACGGAGGAUGCGAGCGUUAUCCGGAUUUAUUGGGUUUAAAGGGUGCGCAGGCGGAAUGUCAAGUCAGCGGUAAAAUUUCGGGGCUCAACCCCGUCGUGCCGUUGAAACUGGCGUUCUUGAGUGAGCGAGAAGUAUGCGGAAUGCGUGGUGUAGCGGUGAAAUGCAUAGAUAUCACGCAGAACUCCGAUUGCGAAGGCAGCAUACCGGCGCUCAACUGACGCUCAUGCACGAAAGCGUGGGUAUCGAACAGGAUUAGAUACCCCCGUA